This 70-nucleotide transfer RNA is filed under the name Ursus arctos (brown bear). RNAcentral's name for it is "tRNA-Thr". RNAcentral also lists the same sequence under 1 other name. Lineage: Eukaryota; Metazoa; Chordata; Mammalia; Carnivora; Ursidae. The record is from RNAcentral.
AGUAUAACAAUUACCUUGGUCUUGUAAGCCAAAAACGGAGAAUAUCUACCCUCCCUAAGACUCAAGGAAG